This 216-nucleotide long non-coding RNA is filed under the name Elaeis guineensis (African oil palm). Its description in RNAcentral is "long non-coding RNA (EGUI_LNC063466)". The record is from RNAcentral. Lineage: Eukaryota; Viridiplantae; Streptophyta; Magnoliopsida; Arecales; Arecaceae.
AGCCGAAGUUCUUAACAGAAUUGACCCUCGCAGGACUCUUCCGAUUUUCGACUGCAGAUGGCGAACUCCCAUUGCUCCGUCCGGACUCCUACGGGAGCCAGAUCUCAUCUCCAACUCCAACUGCGGGAAGACUUCGUCCAGACUCCUACGGGAGCCGGACUCCGUCCGUGACUCCAAUUGCAGGAAGACUCCGCCCGGACUCCUACGGGAGCCGGA